Molecule: ribosomal RNA, 443 nt
Filed under: uncultured bacterium
Lineage: Bacteria
Description: partial 16S ribosomal RNA
Rfam family: Bacterial small subunit ribosomal RNA
Source: RNAcentral
CCUACGGGUGGCAGCAGUGGGGAAUAUUGGGCAAUGGGCGCAAGCCUGACCCAGCAACGCCGCGUGAAGGAAGAAGGCUUUCGGGUUGUAAACUUCUUUUCUCAGGGACGAAGCAAGUGACGGUACCUGAGGAAUAAGCCACGGCUAACUACGUGCCAGCAGCCGCGGUAAUACGUAGGUGGCAAGCGUUAUCCGGAUUUACUGGGUGUAAAGGGCGUGUAGGCGGGAAAGCAAGUCUGAUGUGAAAACCAUGGGCUCAACCUGUGGCCUGCUUUUGAAACUGUUUUUCUUGAGUGCUGGAGAGGCAGACGGAAUUCCUAGUGUAGCGGUGAAAUGCGUAGAUAUUAGGAGGAACACCAGUGGCGAAGGCGGCCUGCUGGACAGCAACUGACGCUGAGGCUCGAAAGCGUGGGGAGCAAACAGGAUUAGAUACCCGGGUAGUC